Molecule: long non-coding RNA, 2979 nt
Filed under: Homo sapiens (human)
Lineage: Eukaryota; Metazoa; Chordata; Mammalia; Primates; Hominidae
Description: HSALNT0265235
Source: RNAcentral
CUGGCUGGAGCAGAUAGGCUCGGAAGGAAAAUGAUGUGGAAGGCAUAAUAAGCGAGCUGCUCAGAAUUAAUGAGCUAACCCAGUAAGAAAAGAAUGGCCAAUCAAUGUGAGUUGGGCAAAUAUAAUUUAGAAAUAAUUGCUUGAUUGGUUGCCUAUAGUAGACUGAUUUGACCACAUACAAGGAUUAAGAAUUAAGAUGUCAAGGCAAAAAAUAAUUUGGCAACUGAGGGCAUGUAAUUUUUUGUGUCCUUCCCUUUAUGAUUGAAAGAGAUGGGUGUUUGAGAUGCUAUUCGCCAGAAUGAAAACAUUAGACACCCUCUCGUUCUCUUUCUGCUCCUCUCACAAUGCAGGCCCAUUCAGAACACAAUUGUGAUACUCCUGGACAGGACGUGAAAAAGGCACCGGAGCCGCUACGUGCACAGUAAUGACAUCUCAAAGGCCAACAGCACUGGCUGGAGAAUAAAGGCGUUUUAAAGGUCUAAGAACACUGGAUUGAAGAGCCAAGGAGAACCCUUGAUGGAUGAGGAGGAAGGCAGAGCCCAGCAAAUGACAAGGCAUUUGUGACCAGGUUUCCAAUGCCGGAGUGAGGUAGAACAAAAGUACUGAAGAGACAGGAGCUUCCGUUCCUGCCCCGGUGCCAGCUUGUCUUUCCCGUUUCCCAGGAAGCUCAGCUGACUACAAGCCUACGGGGGUACGGCCCUCCUCUUAUUUCUGUUGCCUCUUGUUAGUUGAGAAAUGUUAGUGUCUCAAAUUGUUUUAGUCCCUCAAAUUGCCUUUAAGGAUAAUGGUAAUAAAAUGAUUUAAGCUACAAUAUUUGAGUAUUCACUAUUUACCAGAUACUAUUCUAGGCACCGAAUAUUUGAUUUCCCCCCAAGCCCCAUGAGAUGCUGCUAUCAUUAGGCCCAUUUUACAGAUGAGUCACUGAGGCCCUGAAAAUAAUUUGCCCAUAUUCACUCCACCAGUGGCCAUAGAGCCAUGCCUUGAACCUAGGCAGUCUCACAGGCUUUUCAUUACCACUGGACCCCAGAUUCCAGGGCCAGGCCUAGAGAGCCAGUGUCUCUUCAAAUUUUACACCCUAAGUACCCACCAGAAUCCCCUUCCCAGACACCUUCCUUCCUUCCUUUCUACUGAUCUCUCCUUCGCCCCCUUGAAAAGCUCAAGACAUGGCUGGGCAUGGUGGCUCACGCCUAUAAUCCCUGCACUUUGGGAGGCUGGGGCGGGUGGAUCGCCUGAGGUCAGGAGAUGGAGAUCAGCCUGGCCAACAUGGUGAAACCCCAUCUCUACUAAAAAUACAAAAAUUAGCCGGGCUUGGUGGCGGGCGCCUGUAAUCCCAGCUAGUAGGGAGGCUGAGACAGGAGAAUUGCUUGAACCUGGGAGGAGGAGGUUGCAGUGAGCCGAGGCUGCACCAUUGCACUCCAGCCUGGGCAACAAGAGCAAAAUUCCAUCUCAAAAAAAAAAAAAAAAAAAAAGAAAAGAACAGCUCAAGCCACAACAAUGGCAGAAAUGGUGCACAAGCCCAUCUCACACAGUCCCCCUGACUGAAUGUUUUCAAUAACAAAAUCCCACUCAGUUUUCACAGAAUCUUUUCACUGAAGGUGGGACAGAAAUUUUGAUUAUCCAGGCCUCCUUUAGGCCUCUCAGACCACAGUGACACUUGAGCCCCAAGUCAGCAGAGAUCGCUGCCAAAGAGUCACGCUUUAGCAACUUAUCUGGACUGUGGACAAUGGCCGUGAACUGACCCUUUUCCCCUUGUUCAGCUGAAAGGUGCCCUCCCCUCUGGUUCCCUGAGAUGAGCCGUGGCUCCUGAUUCAUUCCGAGAAGACAGCAAUUGGAUCUAAUCAUGGAGCACAACACACGCUGGAUGGGCCAUCAGCGCAGAGCCAUAAUCUCUGCCUGGAGUGAGUUCUUCCAUAACUCCAGCCCAUUGCACAAAAUUGACGGGCUCUUUUCUUUUUGGCUGGAUCUGAUAGCAUUCUGGGAAGUCUUUGUACCGCUUUAUAUCACAGGAUCACUAUACCUGUGUGGGAAUGUUAACAAAACUAUGGUUAUGAAACACUGAUAUUAUCUCUUAGUAAAUUAAAUCUGCCUUUCCUACGAAUAGUGGAGUUAAGAAAGCUGAGACAAAUUCUUUUUUCGAAAAACAUUUCUUUGAAUUCUAUAUUACUCACACGUAGGUUAUUUUCUCUUCUUUGCAAUUCUACUGGGCCCAUUCCUCUCUAAUAAUGUGAUGUGGUGUCAUCACAUGGCCAAACAUCUUUUUGACCUCCCAUAAUAGCUUCUCAGAGACACAGGUGAAGGUCAUUCCCAUUUGCAUGGCCCUCAAUACCUGAUGAACACCCAGGAGGUGCCAGCAAUGUUUGGCAAGCAUAUCAGUCUCCUAUUGCUGCCGUAACCAAUUACCGUAUGUUUAGUGGCUAAAAAUAAUUUAAAUAAGUUUUCUUACAGUUCUGGAGGUCAGAAGUUCAAAAUGGGUCUUAAAGGUAUCAGCUGGGCUGGUUCAUUCCGGAGGCUCCAGAAGCGUCCCUCCCUUGCCUCUCCCAGGGUUUAGAGGCUGCUAGCAUUCCUUGGUACCAGGCUGCAUCACUCCAACCUCUGCUUCUACCUCUGCUUCUGUCCUCAUGUCACCUUCUCCCACUGUGAUGUCCUACCUCUCUCUCAUUAGGAUCCUUUUGAUUAUAUCAAGCCCACCCAGGUAAACCAGGAUCAUCUCCCUAUCUCAAGAUCCUUAACUUGAUCCCAUCUGAAAAGUCCCUUUGACCAUAGAAGGUAACAUGCAUAGUUCCAGGAAUUAGAACAAGGGCAUUGGGGGAGGAGGGGAUGAGUUAUUCAGCCUACAACAUGCAAUCGAUCCUGGGAAGAGAGGCAAAGUGCUCGUCAUUCAUUUGUUCAUUCAUUCAUUCAUCCAGCUGCAAAUGUGAGUUUGUGGGCACCAUGUUCGGCCCCAGGACUGCAGUAGAGAGCAGGACAGUCUUCCCGUUG